CCUACGGGAGGCAGCAGUGAGGAAUUUUCCGCAAUGGGCGAAAGCCUGACGGAGCAAUACCGCGUGAGGGAUGAAGGAUUUUGGUCUGUAAACCUCUUUUCUCAAGAAAGAAGUUCUGACGGUACUUGAGGAAUAAGCAUCGGCUAACUCCGUGCCAGCAGCCGCGGUAAUACGGGGGAUGCAAGCGUUAUCCGGAAUGAUUGGGCGUAAAGCGCCUGUAGGUUGUUUAUUAAGUCCGUUGUUAAAGCCUAGGGCUUAACCCUAGAAAAGCAAUGGAAACUAGUAGACUAGAGUAUGGCAGGGGUAGAGGGAAUUUCUAGUGUAGCGGUGAAAUGCGUAGAUAUUAGAAAGAACACCGGUGGCGAAAGCGCUCUACUGGACCAUUACUGACACUCAGAGGCGAAAGCUAGGGUAGCAAAAGGGAUUAGAUACCCCUGUAGUCCUAGCCGUAAACGAUGGAUACUAGAUGUUGUGCAUUAUGUACAGUAUCGUAGCUAACGCGUUAAGUAUCCCGCCUGGGGAGUACGCUCGCAAGGGUGAAACUUAAAGGAAUUGACCGGNNGAGANGCGACGACGACACGAGGGAGAGG
Molecule: ribosomal RNA, 590 nt
Filed under: uncultured bacterium
Lineage: Bacteria
Description: bacterial SSU rRNA
Rfam family: Bacterial small subunit ribosomal RNA
Source: RNAcentral